This 3240-nucleotide long non-coding RNA is filed under the name Sorghum bicolor (sorghum). RNAcentral describes it as "long non-coding RNA (SBIC_LNC010258)". The record is from RNAcentral. Lineage: Eukaryota; Viridiplantae; Streptophyta; Magnoliopsida; Poales; Poaceae.
GGCAGGUCAACAGCCAAGGGACAACACACGCACUCUCCUGUCUCCCUCCCUCUCUCUCUGCUUUCUUUCCCCCUCCUCGAGAUCGACCACCUUGGCCGCUCCAGAUCGACAACCAUGGCUUCUGGGCUCUCCAAGGGUUACUACCCAAAACAAAUCUCUGUGGUUUCUAACUGCUAUGCACUAGUUUUUCCCUUGGAAUUCCCUUGAUUUUCUCCUUCUCUGGUGUGUGCAGGUCGGCGGUGACGUACUUCACCGAGGUGCCUGGCUCGGCAACCAUGGCGCCCAGGCAGAGCCCAGGAGCCCGUGGUGCUGCUGUGUGGUGGUGUGUAGGGAUUCAGGAUCCGACACUAUUUUCCCCCAACCUGAUAGUGAGUUCAUCUUCCUCACAUCUCCCUGUUCUCUGUUUUUUUUUUUUUUGAAACCUAAUCUGUAGCUCAAAGAUGAAUUAGUAUAGUUCUUGUGUUAAAUCUUUAUCCCACGUUUAAGUAUUAAGUGAAUACUUGUGCUAAAAAAAUGCUAGACCUUGUUAUAGCAACAGCUAGUCCAUCAUUCUUCUAGCAACUUAAGUAUUUUAUCUAGUAUUUCUGUGGUGUGCAAAACUAGUGCAACCAAAACAUUUAUCCCUUUUGUGCAUGUGCUCUGUGUUAUCUGUAGAGAGAAAAAAAAGAGAAAAUUUCUCUAGAAGAUUGUGCAGUGCAGGUGAAACCUCACCUUAACUUUGAGAUUUCAGCUUCAGGCUUAGGCUUGUGCUUCCCCACAAGCACUCCUUCUGUUUGCAGAUCUUGGCUAACACUACUUCUUCUUUUACUUGGUUGAUCCUCACCUGGCCUCUUUUCUUGACUUUCUUUUCUCUCAACCCCUGUUGCUCUCCAUGGGUGCUCAAGUCACCAUUUUGCUGAUGUGGAAGGCUGGUGACUUUUCUCAGUCAAGGAUUGGGCUAGGUGUCCUUGGUAGGCUGCAACUUUGAGUGAAGACUGAAGAACUAGUUUGCUACUACGAUGAGGAAUGCUCCUCUCACUUUCACUCCUGGUUCUUGUACUAGUACACAUUUCCAACCUCUAAGAGAUAUUUACCCUCACAUCUCCUAGCUUUGUCAAGGUCUGUGCAGUGGUGUCCUCCAGCUGCUGCCAUUUGUUUGGUUGAAUGCCUUCUAGAAGGGCAUGCAGCUCACUAUUGUAUAAACUAGUACAAGAGUGGGUGAAAUAGUUGCCACAGUGGUGUGUACUAGAAAAUGUAAAGAAUGGUGUGAGUGUGUGCGUGUGGUAACCUAAGAGGCUAGUUGGCUUAACCAUGUAAAGAAAAUUCCAAGGAUUAAUAUAAGAUCUGUGCAUUUUGGUAUCCAAGUGUAUCAAUUAUCUUGCUGAUGUAAUUAAGAGAGCUGAUGUAAUUAAGGUUAGUUAUCUACUAAAAAUGUGGGUCGUUACAGAGAGAGUCUGGAGAAGCUAGCAUUUUCAACUUCACCAGCUUUCCUACGAAUGUGAUAGCUAAUUUUGGCGAUUUCAAUGGAAAAGCUGUUCCAAAAUAUUUGUUUGGUAGGAAAAGCUGGAAAACAUAUUUGUGAACUGCAUUACAAUUCCUAACAUAUGUGCCCUUAGCUUUAGAAAGAAAAAUUGGUGCAUCCUUGUCUUCUACUCCAUUGUUAAUCCAUCAUCAUUCAACUGAACUAAGCAUUCAUAGAUAGCAUUAUACAUGUGGCAUCCCUAGUUAGUGGUAUAUAUGAAGAAAAAAGUCUACAUAACCUCCCAAACUAUCUAGGGUGGAAUACUUAAUCCCCCAAACUAUAAAACCAGAUAUUCUACCCCCUGAUCUUUCAAAACCGGUCAAAUAACCCCCUAGAGUGGUUUUAUAGGGUGGUUUUGUCUUUUUCUUUUUUUAUUUAUUUCCGCUGAAUAUUUAAAAAAUCAUAAUAAAUCUCUAAAAAAUCGUAAAAUAAAAUAUUUAAUUUUGUUGGACUAUUGAUGAGUAGAUCUACACAAUGAAUAUAUAAUAUGGUAUACUUUAGUACAAAGUUUUUGUUGUAAGUUUAAAUCUAUGUUUUCUAUAAUUAAUUUGAAUAAUUCAUAUAUGUAGUUUCUAUGGUCCAAUUAUGGUAAAAUUUUUAUGGUCGGCUCAUUAUUGUAUGCUUGAACUAUGGUAAAAAUUUCAUACUCAUUGGAUCAAGUAUAACUUAGUUAUAGAUAAAGCAUAGAUUUAACAAGUAAAGCUAAAUAAAUUGAUUACUAAGUUAUAGGUGAUCCAAUGGGUACGAAACUUUUCCCAUAAUUGAAGCGUACAAUAAUGAGCCCACCAUAAAAAUUUUACCACAAUUGAACCAUAGAAACUACAUAUAUGAGUUAUUCUUACUAAUUAUAGAAAAACAUAGAUUUAAAGCUACAACAAAAACUUUGUGCUAAAGUAUAUCAGAUUAUAUAUUCAUUGUGUAGGUCUACUCAUCAGGAGUCCAAAAAAUUGAAUUUUUUAUUUUAUGAUUUUUUUUGUGACUUAUUAUGAUUUUCCAAAGAUUCAGCAAAAAUAAAUAAAAAAGAAAAAUACAAAAUCACCCUCUAUAACCACUCUAGGGGGAUAUGUGACCGAUGGUAGAAUAUCCAGUUUUAUAGUUUAGGGGAUGAAUUAUUCCACCAUAAAUAGUCUGGGGGUUAUGUAGACUUUUUUCUAUAUAUGAACUGUUCGUGAUUCGUAUCAUCUCACUGUAGCUCUCAGAGAGUAAUAGAGCAGUAUAGCUGUUGAACCAAUAAUGAUUGUACCAACAAUACCGAUUCAUGGCAAUCUAGGUAUAAUAUGGUAGCUGCAAAACAUCAAUUCUUUACUACAAACUAGUAGAAGGCGUGCGCCCUCGCGCGCAUGUUUUAUGUUUACGUUGAUGAACCCUAAACAAUAUCAUAUUUAUAAGGAUACAAAUUAUGUAGUAAUUGAUGCAUAAAUGUUAAAAGAGUAUAAGUUUAGUAAUUGAUGCAUUGGUAUCCAUGGAUCAGUAUAUUAUAAGCUUUACUCCGAGAGCUAUAUGGCAUUCAUUAGUUUCAUGGUUUUCUAUAGGCUCUACAUAUAAGCAGCUUCAAACAGGCGGUCAUCGCAUCUUUCACACCACCGCAUGCAUCAUCACCAACAACCUCCUGACCGCCAAUGCCCAGGUCUUGUCGUUGCUGUCAGCCUGUCACAGGAAUGUAGUAAGCUUAUUGUAUUUUUAGAUUAUAGAAUUAUAUAUGUAUGCUAAAGAACAUAACUGCGAUAACAAUAUCUUUA